This 465-nucleotide ribosomal RNA is filed under the name uncultured bacterium. RNAcentral's name for it is "partial 16S ribosomal RNA". It matches the Rfam family "Bacterial small subunit ribosomal RNA", at positions 28 to 507 of the family's 1533-position model. The record is from RNAcentral.
GACGAACGCUGGCGGCGUGCCUAACACAUGCAAGUCGAACGGACAGGCCCCUUUCGUGGUACUCGACUGGCGAACGGGUGCGUAACAGGUGAGUAACCUCCCCUUGACUUCGGGAUAACUUUAGGACACUGGGGCUAAUACCGGACACGAAUCCUCGCUGCAUGGUGGGGGUUGCAAAGCUCCGGCCGUUUUGGCUGGACUUGCGGCCUAUCACCGUGUUGGUGGGGUUGUGGCUUACCAAGGCCUUAGCGGGCAGCCCGACUGAGUGGGCGACCGGCCAUAGUGGGACUGAGAGGAGGCCCAGACCCGGAAGGGACGCAGCUGCGGGGAAGAUUGCACCAGGGGCGGAAGCCUGGUGCAGCAACGCCGCGGGCGGGAUAACGGCCUUCGGGUUGUAAACCGCUUUCAGCAGGGGCCAAGCUUGUGGUGACGGUACCUGCAGAAGAAGCACCGGCUAACUACGUG